RNAcentral lists this ribosomal RNA (253 nucleotides) under uncultured bacterium. RNAcentral describes it as "partial 16S ribosomal RNA". It matches the Rfam family "Bacterial small subunit ribosomal RNA", at positions 524 to 776 of the family's 1533-position model. The record is from RNAcentral.
UACGAAGGGGACUAGCGUUGUUCGGAAUCACUGGGCGUAAAGGGCGCGUAGGCGGCUUUAUAAGUCGGGGGUGAAAGCCUGUGGCUCAACCACAGAAUUGCCUUCGAUACUGUAGAGCUUGAGACCGGAAGAGGUAAGUGGAACUGCGAGUGUAGAGGUGAAAUGCGUAGAUAUUGGGAGGAACACCAGUGGCGAAGGCGGCUACCUGGACCGGUUCUGACGCUGAGGCGCGAAAGCGUGGGUAGCAAACAGG